GAUGAACGCUGGCGGCGUGCCUAAUACAUGCAAGUCGAGCGAACGGACGAGAAGCUUGCUUCUCUGAUGUUAGCGGCGGACGGGUGAGUAACACGUGGAUAACCUACCUAUAAGACUGGGAUAACUUCGGGAAACCGUAGCUAAUACCGGAUAAUAUUUUGAACCGCAUGGUUCAAAAGUGAAAGACGGUCUUGCUGUCACUUAUAGAUGGAUCCGCGCUGCAUUAGCUAGUUGGUAAGGUAACGGCUUACCAAGGCAACGAUGCAUAGCCGACCUGAGAGGGUGAUCGGCCACACUGGAACUGAGACACGGUCCAGACUCCUACGGGAGGCAGCAGUAGGGAAUCUUCCGCAAUGGGCGAAAGCCUGACGGAGCAACGCCGCGUGAGUGAUGAAGGUCUUCGGAUCGUAAAACUCUGUUAUUAGGGAAGAACAUAUGUGUAAGUAACUGUGCACAUCUUGACGGUACCUAAUCAGAAAGCCACGGCUAACUACGUGCCAGCAGCCGCGGUAAUACGUAGGUGGCAAGCGUUAUCCGGAAUUAUUGGGCGUAAAGCGCGCGUAGGCGGUUUUUUAAGUCUGAUGUGAAAGCCCACGGCUCAACCGUGGAGGGUCAUUGGAAACUGGAAAACCUGAGUGCAGAAGAGGAAAGUGGAAUUCCAUGUGUAGCGGUGAAAUGCGCAGAGAUAUGGAGGAACACCAGUGGCGAAGGCGACUUUCUGGUCUGUAACUGACGCUGAUGUGCGAAAGCGUGGGGAUCAAACAGG
RNAcentral lists this ribosomal RNA (766 nucleotides) under Staphylococcus aureus. Its description in RNAcentral is "bacterial SSU rRNA". It matches the Rfam family "Bacterial small subunit ribosomal RNA", at positions 28 to 776 of the family's 1533-position model. The record is from RNAcentral. Lineage: Bacteria; Bacillati; Bacillota; Bacilli; Caryophanales; Staphylococcaceae.